Molecule: transfer RNA, 60 nt
Filed under: Epipenaeon fissurae
Lineage: Eukaryota; Metazoa; Arthropoda; Malacostraca; Isopoda; Bopyridae
Description: tRNA-Leu
Source: RNAcentral
CCCCUUGUGGCAGAUAUAAUGUGCAGAAUUUAAGCUUCUGAGAUAGUUUACUCCUGGGGA